Long non-coding RNA from Scylla paramamosain (green mud crab), 1371 nucleotides. RefSeq lists it as uncharacterized. NCBI's taxonomy places the organism in Eukaryota, Metazoa, Arthropoda, Malacostraca, Decapoda, Portunidae. The transcript has 5 exons. The record is from RefSeq and is a predicted model, not a curated record.
UGUUUCCCUGUCGACAGUGUGUAAGCCGCGCGGGUAGCCUGCGUGUGUGUUCUCCCUUAGGAUUUGUCUUUUCUUGCCUUUUUUGUGAGUGCGUGUCUGUCCACUGCGGGUUGUCCUACACUGGUGGCGUGAUUGGGUUCAGAAGUUCCCUGCCAGACGACCGUGGUGCUCAAGAUUGCUUCCAGCUGUCCAAAUAGUCAUGCUACUGAUGCGCGACUUGAGACCUUGGGAGGCGCCUGCUUGUGAAUCCGUGUUCCUCUCUAGCAGCUGAGUGCGUCCAUGCGAGGAAGACAAGAAAUUCUCGUCACUGUAUUUUUUUUUUUCAAUACCAGUGCAUUAUCUAGGAAAAAAAAUAACAUCACCAAUACAACAUUGUACCAAUUUUCAGUAAAACAUGCAUUUUCCACGUCUUCUGAAUUAAGGUAAUCAUCCUGCUAAGUCUUAUGGUUUCCUUUUUUGGUUUGAAUUUUUUAUUUUUUGGGAGCUUUCUAUUCGAACCAGUUUUAACCGUUCGUAUCCUUCGUGAUCCCGCCCAGUAUUACAUUCCCGCAGCGCUGCAUGACUGGCCCCGCGCAGAGGUGCUGGUGAUGAGUGCGGAGGUGACCUGCUGGUUUUUGUGCGUCUGGUCAACGGGACGAGGCUUUAGAAAUCAAGAAUUGAGAAAAGAGCGUGCAGUCCAAAAACCUGGGAGCUUUUGGUUCAGGUUUACUGGUUGCUGCCAGUCCUGCCGCUCCUCUUCUUGCGCAGCUCCAGAAAAUAUAGACUGCACACCUUUCUCCGUCUUUUGUUCUUAUCAGCUGUGGAGAAAAAUGUCGGGUGAGGGCGUGUAGGCUUGACGACGCCCCAGGGACCAAGGGCGAGCUGCAGCGAGGGCAGUAAACUCGACGCGUCUAAGCGAGACUCACAAGUUAACAAGAAACUGAAGUGAAGGUCUUUAAUUCUUUUGACUUAGUGGUUUUCCGUCAAGUUUAUUAAAAUGGUCUUGUGUAAGUGUUAAGUAUAUUCCGGAGACCCAGUGACGACAGAGUGAUGGAGUGCUAAGAACAUUUUAAAGCCUGUAGUUUUAUAUUUCCUCAGUAAAAUCGUCCAGAAUUACUCAAGUACAGUAACAAGUGUCGUGCUGUCAUUGGGUGUUAAAGGGUUAUGUGCUCUCACACGUCACAGCUGGAGAAUAGAAAAUGUACUGUGAUCCCUAAUCGAUAUAUUCUUUGUAGAUAGGACACAGAAGGAGAGGAUUCAGAAGUAGUGAAUCAGAUAAUUAUCGGAUUACAGGCGGCAAGCAUCAUGUGCAUGGUGCGCAGGCUUAUGCAGAUGACAACCUCCUCCAAACCUGCUUGAAAAUAUAUAGAUUUCUUAGUCUAAACCUGUUUA